ACCCGCUGAACUUAAGCAUAUCAAUAAGCGGAGGAAGAGAAACCAACAGGUAUUGCCUUAGUAACGGCGAGUGAAGCGGCAAAAGCUCAAAUUUGAAAUCUGCCAACAGGCCGAAUUGUAAUUUGUAGAGGAACGUUCGGUGACGCCUAAGUCCGAGUCUUCUGGAAGGAAGCGCCAAUGAGGGUGAGAGCCCCGUAGGAUGACUGGCUGAGCCUUGUGUACGUCCUUCGAAGAGUCGAGUUGUUUGGGAAUGCAGCUCAAAAUUGGUGGUAAAUUCCAUCUAAAGCUAAAUAUUGGCCAGAGACCGAUAGCGCACAAGUAGAGUGAUCGAAAGAUGAAAAGCACUUUGGAAAGAGAGUGAAACAGUACGUGAAAUUGUUGAAAGGGAAGCGCUUGCAAGCAGACUUGUUUAUUGGGUUCAGCAACUGUUUUCAGUUGUGUACUUCCCAGUUUUACAGGCCAACAUCAGUUUCUUGGGUUGGAUAAAAUCAUUGGGAACGUGGCUCUUUCGGGAGUGUUAUAGCCCUUUGAAAAAUACAGCCACAGGAGACUGAGGAUAGCCUUUUGAAGGAUGUUGGCGUAAUGCUUGCUAGCGGCCCGUCUUGAAACACGG
This 613-nucleotide ribosomal RNA is filed under the name uncultured fungus. Its description in RNAcentral is "eukaryotic LSU rRNA". It matches the Rfam family "Eukaryotic large subunit ribosomal RNA", at positions 23 to 664 of the family's 3401-position model. Lineage: Eukaryota; Fungi. The record is from RNAcentral.